Molecule: unclassified non-coding RNA, 148 nt
Organism: Macaca fascicularis (crab-eating macaque)
Lineage: Eukaryota; Metazoa; Chordata; Mammalia; Primates; Cercopithecidae
Rfam family: Metazoan signal recognition particle RNA
About the family: The signal recognition particle (SRP) is a universally conserved ribonucleoprotein.
Source: Ensembl
GCCGAGCGCUGUGGUGGGUGCCUGUAAUCCCAGCUACUUGGGAGGCUGAGGCAGGAGAAUCACUUGAACCUGGGAGGCAGAGGUUGCAGUGAGCCAAAAUGGGGCCACUGCACUCUAGCCUGGGUGACAGAGUGAGAUUCUGUCUCAA